RNAcentral lists this unclassified non-coding RNA (303 nucleotides) under Hemimycena lactea. Its description in RNAcentral is "partial contains 5.8S ribosomal RNA, internal transcribed spacer 2, and large subunit ribosomal RNA". The record is from RNAcentral. Lineage: Eukaryota; Fungi; Basidiomycota; Agaricomycetes; Agaricales; Mycenaceae.
CGCACCUUGCACCCUUUGGUAUUCCGAAGGGUAUGCCUGUUUGAGUGUCAUUAAAAUAUCAACCUUGAGACGUUCUUUUGAGCGUCGCAAGGCUUGGACUUGGGGGUUUCUGCGGGCUGCAUCUGCGGUCGGCUCCCCUUAAAGACAUUAGCCGAGGUCCUCUCUCUGCCUAUUGGUGUGAUAACUAUCAUCGCCGAUUAAGCAAGUGAGACUUUGCUUCCAAUCGUCUUCGGACAGCUCCUCUCGGGGCUCUUUAAUGACUAUUGUGACCUCAAAUCAGGUAGGACUACCCGCUGAACUUAA